CAAUAGCAUAUAUUAACGUUGUUGCAGUUGAAAAGCUCGUAGUUGAACUUUUGGUAGGAGCGACCUGGCCUUGGGCGCAUGCCCUUGUUUGCCGUGUGUCGUAUCUGGCCAUCCUUUUCCGCUUCGGCGGGAAUCCUUUACUGUGAGUAAACUGGAGUGCUCAAAACAAGACGUUUGUUUGGUACAUUAAAGCAUGGAAUAAUAAGAUAGGACCUGGUUACUAUUUUGUUGGUUUGCAUAGCUAGGUAAUGAUUAACAGGGACAGUUGGGGGUAUUCGUAUUUAAUUGUCAGAGGUGAAAUUCUUGGAUUUAUGAAAGACGAACGACUGCGAAAGCAUUUACCAAGGAUGUUUUCAUUGA
Molecule: ribosomal RNA, 360 nt
Filed under: uncultured eukaryote
Lineage: Eukaryota
Description: partial 18S ribosomal RNA
Rfam family: Eukaryotic small subunit ribosomal RNA
Source: RNAcentral